This 279-nucleotide long non-coding RNA is filed under the name Elaeis guineensis (African oil palm). Its description in RNAcentral is "long non-coding RNA (EGUI_LNC058326)". The record is from RNAcentral. Lineage: Eukaryota; Viridiplantae; Streptophyta; Magnoliopsida; Arecales; Arecaceae.
UGGGACAUCUGGUUAAGUGGAAUAGCUCUCUGUCUCAGCAAUUUAAGAGAAGCUUAGAUGUUUUCGAGAUUGCUGAUGGGUUAACUGUUGUUGGGUGCCUUAGGCAUUGACGCUAUAGACAGAAGUCAUCUGCUGUAGAAGUUCGGAUAGAAUUUGUCUAGAGAAAUCCGGCUGGAGUCCGAUUGCUAGAGAAGUCCAUCUGGAAUUUGUCUGAUGUAGAAGCUUAUCUGAAGACUGUCCGUUGGAGAGGCCCGGUUGCAUGAGGAAUCCGAUAGAAGG